Molecule: long non-coding RNA, 1294 nt
Organism: Gadus morhua (Atlantic cod)
Lineage: Eukaryota; Metazoa; Chordata; Actinopteri; Gadiformes; Gadidae
Source: Ensembl
AAAAUUCUGUUGGAAGGAAGACAUGUUGCCAGUGUCUCCUCCCCCUUCCCCGGAAGAACAAGCUCCCAGAUAAUUUGCAGAUGGACAGCUGGGCAUCCUCUGCAAAGUCAUACAGAAACGGUGCCAGGGCUAUAAAUUCGGCCCAGCUAUCUGUCUCAAAACUAAAUGCCCUUGGUCGGAAACCCCUACUAUUUCUUGGAAAUCCUGGCCGCAAAGGAAAAUCUGUGGGGGACUUGAUUCACUUUAUCCCCACAGAUAACGUCUUGGUGAAGAUUGGUGUGUUGCAUGGACUGUGCUCCACAAGCAGCUGUGCCCCCCCUGGAAAACAGCGGUCCACCAGCCCCUCCUGUGUGCUCUCAGCCUCCUCCAGAACCCUUCUCAUCCCCUCAAACUCCUCCAUCCUUCUCCAACUCCCAACCUCCUUCCUUCUCAUCCCCUCAAACUCCUCCAUCCUUCUCCAACUCCCAACCUCCUCCAUCUUUCCACAACUUAGAACCUCCUCCAUCCUUCUCCAACUCCCAACCUCCUUCCUUCUCAUCCCCUCAAACUCCUCCAUCCUUCUCUAACUCUGAACCUCCUCCAUCUUUCCACAACUUAGAAACUCCUCCAUCCUUCUCCAACUCCCAACCUCCUUCCUUCUCAUCCCCUCAAACUCCUCCAUCCUUCUCCAACUCCCAAGCUCCUUCCUUCUCCAACUCCCAACCUCCUCCAUCCUUCUCAGACCCUCAAAUUCCUCCAUCCUUCUCUAACUCUGAACCUCCUCCAUCUUUCCACAACUUAGAACCUCCUCCAUCCUUCUCCAACUCCCAACCUCCUUCCUUCUCUAACUCUCAACCUUCUCCAUCCUUCUCCCCUCAACCUCAUCCAUCCCUCUCCAACUUUGAACCUCCUUGAUCUCCAGCCUCCUCUUCCAAGAAGAGACCCAAAAUAAAAGAAAACACAAAAAUCAAACCAAGCCAAGCCGUUCAGAUUUUGUUGCCCACGAGAGUCAGAUCCAGGAUGGACCUUAUCUGGAGUGGGGCCAAAAGCGCCCUGGCCCUCCCUCUAAAAAUAAGCGAGCUGAGCUGCUCCUAUUUUCGGGAAAAGAAGAGGUGAAAGUCUCUUGGACACCAUGCCCCAAGUGUGGGAAGAAGUGGGACGAUUCAUGGGAGCCAGACAGCCAACAGUUUAGCUAAAUCUAUUUUAUUUAUUUAUGUAUAUUAUUUUAUUUGUUUGAUAUUCCUGUUUCUUUGGAAGUGUUUAUUUUAUUACACACAAACACACACAUACAUACACAGACAUCUUUCAAAAGUGA